GACGAACGCUGGCGGCGUGCCUAAUACAUGCAAGUCGAGCGAGCGGAACUAACAGAUUUACUUCGGUAAUGACGUUAGGAAAGCGAGCGGCGGAUGGGUGAGUAACACGUGGGGAACCUGCCCCAUAGUCUGGGAUACCACUUGGAAACAGGUGCUAAUACCGGAUAAGAAAGCAGAUCGCAUGAUCAGCUUUUAAAAGGCGGCGUAAGCUGUCGCUAUGGGAUGGCCCCGCGGUGCAUUAGCUAGUUGGUAAGGUAAAGGCUUACCAAGGCGAUGAUGCAUAGCCGAGUUGAGAGACUGAUCGGCCACAUUGGGACUGAGACACGGCCCAAACUCCUACGGGAGGCAGCAGUAGGGAAUCUUCCACAAUGGACGCAAGUCUGAUGGAGCAACGCCGCGUGAGUGAAGAAGGUUUUCGGAUCGUAAAGCUCUGUUGUUGGUGAAGAAGGAUAGAGGUAGUAACUGGCCUUUAUUUGACGGUAAUCAACCAGAAAGUCACGGCUAACUACGUGCCAGCAGCCGCGGUAAUACGUAGGUGGCAAGCGUUGUCCGGAUUUAUUGGGCGUAAAGCGAGCGCAGGCGGAAGAAUAAGUCUGAUGUGAAAGCCCUCGGCUUAACCGAGGAACUGCAUCGGAAACUGUUUUUCUUGAGUGCAGAAGAGGAGAGUGGAACUCCAUGUGUAGCGGUGGAAUGCGUAGAUAUAUGGAAGAGCACCAGUGGCGAAGGCGGCUCUCUGGUCUGCAACUGACGCUGAGGCUCGAAAGCGUGGGUAGCGAACAGG
This 781-nucleotide ribosomal RNA is filed under the name uncultured Lactobacillus sp. RNAcentral's name for it is "bacterial SSU rRNA". It matches the Rfam family "Bacterial small subunit ribosomal RNA", at positions 28 to 776 of the family's 1533-position model. The record is from RNAcentral. Lineage: Bacteria; Bacillati; Bacillota; Bacilli; Lactobacillales; Lactobacillaceae.